This 310-nucleotide ribosomal RNA is filed under the name uncultured bacterium. RNAcentral's name for it is "bacterial SSU rRNA". It matches the Rfam family "Bacterial small subunit ribosomal RNA", at positions 29 to 334 of the family's 1533-position model. The record is from RNAcentral.
AACGAACGCUGGCGGCGUGCUUAACACAUGCAAGUCGAACGCGAACGAUUUCUUCGGAAAUCUAGUAGAGUGGCGCACGGGUGAGUAACGCGUAAGUAAUCUACCCUGAUAUCUGGGAUAACAAUUCGAAAGGAUUGCUAAUACCGGAUACGCUGAUUUAUCAGGAAAGGUGGCCUCUUCAUGAAAGCUACUGUAUUGGGAGGAGCUUGCGUACCAUUAGCUUGUUGGUGGGGUAAUGGCCUACCAAGGCAACGAUGGUUAGCGGGUCUGAGAGGAUGAUCCGCCACACUGGAACUGGAACACGGACCAG